CAGCCGCCGCGGUAAUACGGAGGGUGCAAGCGUUAAUCGGAAUUACUGGGCGUAAAGCGCACGCAGGCGGUCUGUCAAGUCAGAUGUGAAAUCCCCGGGCUUAACCUGGGAACUGCAUUUGAAACUGGCAGGCUAGAGUCUUGUAGAGGGGGGUAGAAUUCCAGGUGUAGCGGUGAAAUGCGUAGAGAUCUGGAGGAAUACCGGUGGCGAAGGCGGCCCCCUGGACAAAGACUGACGCUCAGGUGCGAAAGCGUGGGGAGCAAACAGGAUUAGAUACCCCUGUGUCCCUGUCUCUUAUACA
RNAcentral lists this ribosomal RNA (301 nucleotides) under uncultured bacterium. RNAcentral describes it as "partial 16S ribosomal RNA". It matches the Rfam family "Bacterial small subunit ribosomal RNA", at positions 509 to 808 of the family's 1533-position model. The record is from RNAcentral.